CCACAGUGAUGAGCUUUAUACUUCAGGUCCGUGUUUUUGAACUACAUGAUAUUUAAAGAAGUUCUGAGUUG
Molecule: small nucleolar RNA, 71 nt
Organism: Cololabis saira (Pacific saury)
Lineage: Eukaryota; Metazoa; Chordata; Actinopteri; Beloniformes; Belonidae
Product: small nucleolar RNA SNORD18
Exons: 1
Source: RefSeq, a predicted model, not a curated record